UCGGGAAUUUUGGGCAAUGGGCGAAAGCCUGACCCAGCAACGCCGCGUGAAGGAUGAAGUAUUUCGGUAUGUAAACUUCGAAAGAAUAGGAAGAAUAAAUGACGGUACUAUUUAUAAGGUCCGGCUAACUACGUGCCAGCAGCCGCGGUAAUACGUAGGGACCAAGCGUUGUUCGGAUUUACUGGGCGUAAAGGGCGCGUAGGCGGCAAUUCAAGUCAUCUGUGAAAUCUCCGGGCUUAACUCGGAACGGUCAGAUGAUACUGCUUUGCUAGAGUGCAGAAGGGGCAAUCGGAAUUCUUGGUGUAGCGGUGAAAUGCGUAGAUAUCAAGAGGAACACCUGAGGUGAAGACGGGUUGCUGGGCUGACACUGACGCUGAGGCGCGAAAGCCAGGGGAGCAAACGGGAUUAGAUACCCAAGUAGUCCUG
RNAcentral lists this ribosomal RNA (426 nucleotides) under uncultured bacterium. Its description in RNAcentral is "bacterial SSU rRNA". It matches the Rfam family "Bacterial small subunit ribosomal RNA", at positions 355 to 798 of the family's 1533-position model. The record is from RNAcentral.